AGCGAACGCUGGCGGCAGGCUUAACACAUGCAAGUCGAACGGUCCUUCGGGAUAGUGGCGGACGGGUGAGUAACACGUGGGAACGUACCCUUAGGUUCGGAACAACACAGGGAAACUUGUGCUAAUACCGGAUAAGCCCUUCGGGGGAAAGAUUUAUCGCCUUUGGAGCGGCCCGCGUCUGAUUAACUUGUUGGUGAGGUAAUGGCUCACCAAGGCUACGAUUAGUAGCUGGUCCGAGAGGAUGGCCAGCCACACUGGGACUGAGACACGGCCCAGACUCCUACGGGAGGCAGCAGUGGGGAAUCUUGCGCAAUGGGCGAAAGCCUGACGCAGCCAUGCCGCGUGGAUGAUGAAGGUCUUAGGAUUGUAAAAUCCUUUCACCGGGGACGAUAAUGACGGUACCCGGAGAAGAAGCCCCGGCUAACUUCGUGCCAGCAGCCGCCGUAA
Molecule: ribosomal RNA, 447 nt
Filed under: uncultured bacterium
Lineage: Bacteria
Description: partial 16S ribosomal RNA
Rfam family: Bacterial small subunit ribosomal RNA
Source: RNAcentral